Molecule: transfer RNA, 75 nt
Filed under: bacterium
Lineage: Bacteria
Description: tRNA-Arg
Rfam family: tRNA
About the family: Transfer RNA (tRNA) molecules are approximately 80 nucleotides in length. Their secondary structure includes four short double-helical elements and three loops (D, anti-codon, and T loops).
Source: RNAcentral
GCUCUCGUAGUUCAAUGGAUAGAAUGCGAGCCUCCGAAGCUUGUGAUACAGGUUCGAUUCCUGUCGAGAGCACCA